Molecule: ribosomal RNA, 465 nt
Filed under: uncultured bacterium
Lineage: Bacteria
Description: partial 16S ribosomal RNA
Rfam family: Bacterial small subunit ribosomal RNA
Source: RNAcentral
GACGAACGCUGGCGGCGUGCUUAACACAUGCAAGUCGAACGGAAAGGCCCUGCUUGCAGGGUACUCGAGUGGCGAACGGGUGAGUAACACGUGGGUCAUCUGCCCUGCACUUCGGGAUAAGCCUGGGAAACUGGGUCUAAUACCGGAUAGGAGCCAUUUUUAGUGUGAUGGUUGGAAAGUUUUUUCGGUGUAGGAUGAGCUCGCGGCCUAUCAGCUUGUUGGUGGGGUAAUGGCCUACCAAGGCGGCGACGGGUAGCCGGCCUGAGAGGGUGGACGGCCACAUUGGGACUGAGAUACGGCCCAGACUCCUACGGGAGGCAGCAGUGGGGAAUAUUGCACAAUGGGCGCAAGCCUGAUGCAGCGACGCCGCGUGGGGGAUGACGGCCUUCGGGUUGUAAACUCCUUUCGCUAGGGACGAAGCUUUUUGUGACGGUACCUAGAUAAGAAGCACCGGCUAACUACGUG